UACGGAGGGUGCGAGGGUUGUCCGGAAUCACUGGGCGUAAAGGGCGCGUAGGCGGCUCGAUAAGCGUGUGGUGAAAGCCUGGGGCUCAACCCCGGGUCGGCCAUGCGAACUGUCGAGCUGGAGCACUGUAGAGGCAGGCGGAAUUCCUGGUGUAGCGGUGAAAUGCGCAGAUAUCAGGAGGAAUACCAGCGGCGAAGGCGGGUCUCUGGGCCGAUACUGACGCUGAGGAGCGAAAGCGUGGGGAGCGAACAGG
This 253-nucleotide ribosomal RNA is filed under the name uncultured bacterium. RNAcentral's name for it is "partial 16S ribosomal RNA". It matches the Rfam family "Bacterial small subunit ribosomal RNA", at positions 524 to 776 of the family's 1533-position model. The record is from RNAcentral.